UGGGGAAUAUUGGACAAUGGGCGAAAGCCUGAUCCAGCCAUGCCGCGUGUGUGAAGAAGGUCUUCGGAUUGUAAAGCACUUUAAGUUGGGAGGAAGGGCAGUAAGUUAAUACCUUGCUGUUUUGACGUUACCGACAGAAUAAGCACCGGCUAACUCUGUGCCAGCAGCCGCGGUAAUACAGAGGGUGCAAGCGUUAAUCGGAAUUACUGGGCGUAAAGCGCGCGUAGGUGGUAUGUUAAGUUGGAUGUGAAAGCCCCGGGCUCAACCUGGGAACUGCAUCCAAAACUGGCAAGCUAGAGUACGGUAGAGGGUGGUGGAAUUUCCUGUGUAGCGGUGAAAUGCGUAGAUAUAGGAAGGAACACCAGUGGCGAAGGCGACCACCUGGACUGAUACUGACACUGAGGUGCGAAAGCGUGGGGAGCAAACA
Molecule: ribosomal RNA, 427 nt
Filed under: uncultured bacterium
Lineage: Bacteria
Description: partial 16S ribosomal RNA
Rfam family: Bacterial small subunit ribosomal RNA
Source: RNAcentral